RNAcentral lists this ribosomal RNA (744 nucleotides) under Ophiocordyceps sp. Its description in RNAcentral is "eukaryotic LSU rRNA". It matches the Rfam family "Eukaryotic large subunit ribosomal RNA", at positions 1 to 949 of the family's 3401-position model. Lineage: Eukaryota; Fungi; Ascomycota; Sordariomycetes; Hypocreales; Ophiocordycipitaceae. The record is from RNAcentral.
GUUGACCUCGGAUCAGGUAGGGCUACCCGCUGAACUAAGCAUAUCAAUAAGAAGCCUCUGUGAGGCUCCCUCGACGAGUCGAGUAGUUUGGGAAUGCUGCUCAAAAUUGGAGGUAUAUGUCUUCUAAAGCUAAAUACCGGCCAGAGACCGAUAGCGCACAAGUAGAGUGAUCGAAAGAUGAAAAGCACUUUGAAAAGAGGGUUAAACAGUACGUGAAAUUGUUGAAAGGGAAGCGCCCGCGACCAGACUCGGGCCCGGCGGGAUCAUCCGGCGUUCCUCGCCGGUGCACUCCGCCGGCGCCCGGGCCAGCAUCGGCUCGCCGCGGGGGAUAAAGGCGGCCGGAACGUGGCCCCUCCGGGGGUGUUAUAGCCCGCCGCGCAACGCCCCGCGCCGGGCCGAGGACCGCGCCCUAGGCAAGGAUGCUGGCGUAAUGGUCGCUAGCGACCCGUCUUGAAACACGGACCAAGGAGUCGUCUUCGUAUGCGAGUGUUCGGGUGUCAAACCCCUACGCGCAAUGAAAGUGAACGCGGGUGAGAGCCCUCGCGGGCGCAUCACCGACCGAUCCUGAUGUUCUCGGAUUGGAUUUGAGUAAGAGCAUACGGGGCCGGACCCGAAAGAAGGUGAACUAUGCCUGUGUAGGGUGAAGCCAGAGGAAACUCUGGUGGAGGCUCGCAGCGGUUCUGACGUGCAAAUCGAUCGUCAAACAUGGGCAUGGGGGCGAAAGACUAAUCGAACCUUCUAGUA